Molecule: ribosomal RNA, 411 nt
Filed under: uncultured microorganism
Description: bacterial SSU rRNA
Rfam family: Bacterial small subunit ribosomal RNA
Source: RNAcentral
GAGUUUGAUCUUGGCUCAGAUUGAACGCUGGCGGCAUGCCUUACACAUGCAAGUCGAACGGCAGCAUGAUCUAGCUUGCUAGAUUGAUGGCGAGUGGCGAACGGGUGAGUAAUACAUCGGAACGUGCCCUGUAGUGGGGGAUAACUAGUCGAAAGAUUAGCUAAUACCGCAUACGACCUGAGGGUGAAAGUGGGGGACCGCAAGGCCUCAUGCUAUAGGAGCGGCCGAUGUCUGAUUAGCUAGUUGGUGGGUAAAGGCCCACCAAGGCGACGAUCAGUAGCUGGUCUGAGAGGACGAUCAGCCACACUGGGACUGAGACACGGCCCAGACUCCUACGGGAGGCAGCAGUGGGGAAUUUUGGACAAUGGGCGAAAGCCUGAUCCAGCAAUGCCGCGUGUGUGAAGAAGGCCU